AAUCAACGCUGGCGGCGUGCCUCAGACAUGCAAGUCGAACGCGAAAGUUUCCUUCGGGGAACAAGUAGAGUGGCGCACGGGUGAGUAACACGUAGGUAAUCUACCCUUGGAUGGGGAAUAACAACCGGAAACGGUUGCUAAUACCGCAUAAUGCAGCGGCACCUAAUGGUGACAGUUGUUAAAGCGGGGGAUCGAAAGACCUCGCGUCUGAAGAGGAGCCUGCGGCGGAUUAGCUAGNGGUAAGGUAAUGGCUUACCAAGGCGACGAUCCGUAACCGGCCUGAGAGGGCGGUCGGUCACACUGACACUGACAUACGGGUCAGACUCCUACGGGAGGCAGCAGUCGGGAAUUUUGGGCAAUGGGCGAAAGCCUGACCCAGCAACGCCGCGUGAAGGAUGAAAUCCCUCGGGAUGUAAGCUUCGCAAGAACGGGAAGAAUAAG
RNAcentral lists this ribosomal RNA (441 nucleotides) under uncultured bacterium. RNAcentral describes it as "bacterial SSU rRNA". It matches the Rfam family "Bacterial small subunit ribosomal RNA", at positions 32 to 453 of the family's 1533-position model. The record is from RNAcentral.